RNAcentral lists this unclassified non-coding RNA (376 nucleotides) under Ascomycota sp. RNAcentral describes it as "partial contains small subunit ribosomal RNA, internal transcribed spacer 1, and 5.8S ribosomal RNA". The stretch from base 1 to 47 matches the Rfam family "Eukaryotic small subunit ribosomal RNA", at positions 1785 to 1831 of the family's 1831-position model. The record is from RNAcentral. Lineage: Eukaryota; Fungi; Ascomycota.
AAAGUCGUAACAAGGUUUCCGUAGGUGAACCUGCGGAAGGAUCAUUAACAAAUUUCCAAAACCCCCCUUUACACAUUCGUCGAGAGAGUCGGAGGGAAACCAUCAUUUCUCUUCUUCACUCUUGUCGAGUGUUCAAACACAUUUGUGAACUCAUUUUCCUUCUCUUUCUUUUCCUUCCUUCUCAAUGCUUUUUUCUUCUUCUUCUUCUUCUUCGCUUGGGUGUUUGUUCGUCUGAACGAAGAAAAGAGGAGAAAGAGAGAGAGGAAGAAAAAGAAACAAAAAAACCCCCAAAACAAAACACAAAACCAAAACAAACAUUCAACAAAACAAAAACAACAACCAAAAACAACUCUUAGCAACGGAUAUCUUGGUUCUC